Molecule: ribosomal RNA, 448 nt
Filed under: uncultured bacterium
Lineage: Bacteria
Description: bacterial SSU rRNA
Rfam family: Bacterial small subunit ribosomal RNA
Source: RNAcentral
UCGAGAAUUUUUGACAAUGGGGGAAACCCUGAUCGAGCGACGCCGCGUGGAGGAUGAAGGUCUUCGGGUUGUAAACUCCUGUCAUUUGGGAACAAGGUGCACAUGUUAACUGUAUGUGUAUUGCUAGUACCAGAAGAGGAAGAGACGGCUAACUCUGUGCCAGCAGCCGCGGUAAUACAGAGGUCUCAAGCGUUGUUCGGAUUCAUUGGGCGUAAAGGGUGCGUAGGUGGCGCCGUAAGUGGGGUGUGAAAUCUCGGGGCUUAACUCCGAAACUGCAUUCCAUACUGCGGUGCUUGAGGACUGGAGAGGAGACUGGAAUUCAUGGUGUAGCAGUGAAAUGCGUAGAGAUCAUGAGGAAGACCAGUGGCGAAGGCGGGUCUCUGGACAGUUCCUGACACUGAGGCACGAAGGCCAGGGGAGCAAACGGGAUUAGAUACCCGUGUAGUCC